RNAcentral lists this ribosomal RNA (497 nucleotides) under uncultured bacterium. RNAcentral's name for it is "partial 16S ribosomal RNA". It matches the Rfam family "Bacterial small subunit ribosomal RNA", at positions 28 to 507 of the family's 1533-position model. The record is from RNAcentral.
GAUGAACGCUGGCGGCGUGCCUAAUACAUGCAAGUCGAGCGAACAGACGAGGAGCUUGCUCCUCUGACGUUAGCGGCGGACGGGUGAGUAACACGUGGAUAACCUACCUAUAAGACGGGGAUAACUUCGGGAAACCGGAGCUAAUACCGGAUAAUAUAUUGAACCGCAUGGUUCAAUAGUGAAAGACGGUUUUGCUGUCACUUAUAGAUGGAUCCGCGCCGCAUUAGCUAGUUGGUAAGGUAACGGCUUACCAAGGCAACGAUGCGUAGCCGACCUGAGAGGGUGAUCGGCCACACUGGAACUGAGACACGGUCCAGACUCCUACGGGAGGCAGCAGUAGGGAAUCUUCCGCAAUGGGCGAAAGCCUGACGGAGCAACGCCGCGUGAGUGAUGAAGGUCUUCGGAUCGUAAAACUCUGUUAUUAGGGAAGAACAAAUGUGUAAGUAACUAUGCACGUCUUGACGGUACCUAAUCAGAAAGCCACGGCUAACUACGUG